GAGUAUGAAGCAAUACUGCACUUAGUUUCGACCUAAUGAUUGAUAUUAACUUUAUCCUUACUCU
RNAcentral lists this transfer RNA (64 nucleotides) under Blaptica dubia (Argentinian wood cockroach). RNAcentral's name for it is "tRNA-Arg". The record is from RNAcentral. Lineage: Eukaryota; Metazoa; Arthropoda; Insecta; Blattodea; Blaberidae.